CCUUGCCGCCCAUCCGCCCAAGGGGUUGGGUUUCCCCGUGUACCCAAGCUUGGAUCUAGGCGACAAGUUACCGUUCUGUCGCCUAGAUCCAAGCUUGGGUACACGGGGAAACCCAACCCCUUGGGCGGAUGGGCGGAUGGGCGGCAAGGCUGAAUUGAGAAGA
Molecule: non-coding RNA, 163 nt
Organism: Anopheles epiroticus
Lineage: Eukaryota; Metazoa; Arthropoda; Insecta; Diptera; Culicidae
Source: Rfam